RNAcentral lists this ribosomal RNA (781 nucleotides) under uncultured bacterium. Its description in RNAcentral is "partial 16S ribosomal RNA". The record is from RNAcentral.
UUAAUCCUGUUUGCUACCCACGCUUUCGUACCUCAGCGUCAGUAUUGGUCCAGAAAGUUGCCUUCGCCAUUGAUGUUCCUUCUGAUAUCUACGCAUUUCACCGCUACGCCAGAAAUUCCACUUUCCUCUACCAUACUCUAGUUGACCAGUUUCAAAUGCAGUUCCCAGGUUAAGCCCGGGGCUUUCACAUCUGACUUAAUAAACCGCCUACGCACGCUUUACGCCCAGUAAUUCCGAUUAACGCUUGCACCCUCCGUAUUACCGCGGCUGCUGGCACGGAGUUAGCCGGUGCUUCUUCUAAAGUUAAUGUCAAGGCUAAUGGCUAUUAACCACUAGCUUUUCUUCACAAUUGAAAGUGCUUUACAACCCUCAGGCCUUCUUCACACACGCGGUAUUGCUGGAUCAGGGUUGCCCCCAUUGUCCAAUAUUCCCCACUGCUGCCUCCCGUAGGAGUCUGGUCCGUGUCUCAGUACCAGUGUGGGGGAUCUCCCUCUCAGGACCCCUACCUAUCGAUGUCAUGGUAAGCCGUUACCUUACCAUCUAACUAAUAGGACGCAUAGCCAUCUUUUACCGAUAAAUCUUUAAUUAAGUCUCGAUGCCGAGACUCAAUACCAUAAGGUAUUAAUCUUCAUUUCUAAAGGCUAUCCCUCUGUAAAAGGUAGGUUCUAUACGCGUUACGCACCCGUGCGCCGGUCGUCAUCUGUGCAAGCACAAUGUUACCCCUCGACUUGCAUGUGUUAAGCCUGCCGCUAGCGUUCAUCCUGAGCCAGGAUCAAACUCU